GUGCUCGCUUUGGCAGCACAUAUAGUAAAAUUGAUAUGAUUUUAAAGAGAAGAUUAGCAUGGUACCUGCACAGGAUGACAUGCAAAUUUGUGAAGCAUUUCAUAUUUUU
This is a small nuclear RNA of Sorex fumeus (smoky shrew), 109 nucleotides long. Lineage: Eukaryota; Metazoa; Chordata; Mammalia; Eulipotyphla; Soricidae. The record is from RefSeq and is a predicted model, not a curated record.